Microcebus murinus (gray mouse lemur) is the source of this 582-nucleotide non-coding RNA. The record is from RefSeq and is a predicted model, not a curated record. NCBI's taxonomy places the organism in Eukaryota, Metazoa, Chordata, Mammalia, Primates, Cheirogaleidae.
CUAGUGUUUAUGUAUAUGGGGCAUUUUUUUUUUUUUUUUUUUGCCUCCCAGGAACUUUCAAUUUAGCUACAUAAAAAAGUAACUGUAACAUAUAAAACCUAAAACCUAUUAUAGGUUAGUCAAUGCAAAAUACCACAUGAGUAGAACAGACUAUGAAUUUAGGGGUUCAGUGGAUGGUGUCAUUCCUGUCUUCCCAGAGGACAACAGGUUGUAUAAAAAAAGAAAAAAGACACAGAGCUGCAAGGAACGUUUGUUGCAUUCUCCACUAUAGUACCUGGCGGGAAGCUGAGUCAUAGGAGGCUUUUGACAAAUGUGCGUGGAGAAUGAGCGGAUGAGAAAGCAAGUUUUCCAGAUUCUUAGUCAAGCUGAUAGGUCUUGGGAGUAGACUUUUGGGACAUCUGGAAGAAGACAAGACGAGGGAAAUGAAUUGGGAAGAGAGUAUUAAAUCAUUUGUCCAAGGUCACAUAAAAAAGAAGUGACAGAGGAACAAAUACUCAAGGUCAAGAUAGUGGCUUGAAACAAGUCUAGCAUAGGACUUCUGAUAUUAAGUCCAUUGGACAAUGUGUUCAUCAGAAUAUUGUU